UGAUAUGGAUCUUUGUUACGGUUUUACUGGCCUGUAACCAUGCUGGAGUAGUGUUCAAGAACCUGAUAAAUUAAUCUACAGUGAUUGCCAUAUAGUAAUCAAUUGUAUCACGAUCAGAGAUAGAGAGACGAGAGAUCAUAGCGAAAGACACCACAUGGUUUCACCAUUUCAUAGAUGGGUGUCGGUUACUUGUUAUUAUUAAAAAAAAAAAAAAAAGGAGAAGAGCGUUGACUCUCUACUGGACAAAUCUGACGUGACGAGACGAGAGUAUUUAAAUGCGUUCAUGUGCGUUAAAAAGUUUCGACACUUUGACUUGACAAGUUGCGUUUAAGGAGAGGAAGAUGCGUAGAUCCGCGAGUGGCUCAAGAGUUUCAGAUCAAUUUUCCCAGGCGAAGCCGUCACACUCACGGUCUAUGAGUCGAUCUCAGAGUGUUAGACUUGUUGAAGAUGCGGAGCUGCAUUUGCCAAGGUACGACCCGAGUUCUCAAUCGGGUAAGAGAGAGGAGAAGUCACGAUCGAGAUCUGCUGAAAAUGUCGUCCAUUUCAUUCCCCUUCUUCUUGUCCUCUGUGUUAUAAUCCUCUGGCUCUUCUCUCGUUCAGCGGCUGUCUUUUAAGGAGUCGAGGUUGAAGAAGCUAAAGGCUGUUACUUGUUUCCUUUGGGAAAGAACCAACUUUUUACUGCCAGAACUGGCGCCACGCAAAUGUUUUUUUCUUUUCCUUUCUUUUUUUGAAUUUUGUUUUUUCUUUUCGACAAACCAGCCUUCAUUUAUAUAGCCUUGUUUUGUUAUAAAUGUGUAAUUUCACUAUGUAAUACUAUUUCUACGUCAA
Molecule: long non-coding RNA, 828 nt
Organism: Brassica napus (rape)
Lineage: Eukaryota; Viridiplantae; Streptophyta; Magnoliopsida; Brassicales; Brassicaceae
Exons: 2
Source: RefSeq, a predicted model, not a curated record